GUUGAUCAAUACUAAUUAAAUAAUCCUAUUAAUAUAUUAGAACUUAUAAUAUAUUAAUAAACCAUAAGUGUUAUUUCUUUCAUUUUAGUCUAUCCAAAUGCAUGAUGCUAUGCAACCCAAAUAGACCAUGCUGAUCGGGUCAAGUACCUCCCAGAAUAGUUAUGAACUUAGACACCUAAUCCAAUAGUCUCCUACUUGGAUAAGUCUAAUAACUAUAUCUGCAAGAAUAACUUUAGGAACCGAUCAACAAUUGUAGCUCUUUCAAGGUCUCGCGGAAUUGAGAUGACGAUGAUAUUCCAUUUAAGAUAAGUGAUCAUAUAAUCCGGUGUUCUAGAUAUCAACCGGAAAAAUACAUGGAACAAUGUUUUACUUAUUGUCCAGCAGUUUGUUUUCCGAUUUCCGAUUUGUUUGACAUAGAACUUAAGUGAACAGAUCAACUUAGUUCUGAUCGGGCCCAAUACAUGGGUAAUCACAAAAUCAUCGACGGGCCUAGAUAUCUCUUGUAAUCCAAGAAGGAACAGAUAAACUUCGACUCACAUGGUUGUUCUUCUACUCGUUGAAUCAUACACAAAGGCACGUUUUAUAGCAUCGAGUUACCAAUGCAUUUUCGUACGAUCAACGCAUAGUCAACUCAUAUACAACAAGUCAUAUCUCUAGGUUUGAAGACUUAUAUGAUAUUACCGUCUCACGAUCACUCGAGAUAAAUUCCAUGAAGUGAUACCAGUGAGCGUGGGUUGAAUCCAAUACUCAGAACUUAUGAGCACUCAUGAGUGUUGUAGCACCACUUUGUGCAACAUCUUAGACCUCUACAAUCCAAUCCAUGACAGUCUUGAUUCAUAUCUACUUCCAACAUAUUACCGACUAUGGAUGGUUUGAAUAACGUAAUCAUUCAGGAAGAGCGACUUAGUUAUUCUGGAAGUCAAAACAUGCAAUGUGAAACACAAGAAUAACCGAAUCCAAUAUGGUCUCAGAACUUAUGAAUAUAAAUAAAACAUCUUUUAUUUGUCACCAUAUUGAUUACCCAUCAUUCAUUGCAUACUGUUUCAAACUAUCAACUCUAUACUUGAACUAAAAACAAUAGUUGUCCCAUGCUCCAAGCAUGUACACUAUGUUUUUCUAAACACUAGUCAUGCUUACACCAAGUAUGCACACUAUGUUUUUUUUUCUAUGAUCUUUACUCUGUGAAAUAGAUCAAUUGAACAUAAUUCCAGUGAUACUCAUUUCACAAUCCCAAAUCCUUACCGCAAAUGCAAGAAUUCCAAAUUCCUGCCAUUUACCUAAAUCUGUUAGAUUCUAAACUUAUAUGCAUUGGUCCUCUUGUAAUGAUUAUGCACAAAGUCACAAAGACUUGUCAACAGACAUUACAGAGUAUUCCAAUGGAGAUCAACUCCAUGGAAAUGAAGUCUUAUAUUCAAAGUUCAUUGCCUUUGAACAUUCUUCUUGCAUUAAGUUUCCUAAUCUUACACAGAUUUAAUAAAUACCUUCCACCUAUGGGAACAUUUCCAAAUUCCCCUUUUGACUAUUACCCCUGAACAAGAGUUGCCUCUUUCCAGAAUAUGCCAAUAUGGUCCUUCCAAAAUUAACACUAUACUUCCAACUAUCAUUGAGCAACCAAUCUUUGGUAAACCUUAGAUUGUCCUCAACAAUUGCUUAGUCAACUUAGUCAUAUCUGGUUCUAGUACUUUUCCCUCUUAAUGCUCUGAGCAUUUGGAAAAUUUAGAACAGAUAAAUCUUAUAGCGCAUGCAAUCGAUCCUAUAUCCGAAGCAUAUGGGACACAAUUGAUAAAGACAUGAUACUAGAACAGUCUUUUGCUAUAACAUUUCUAUUUCUAUUUUCGAAGUUCUCAUAAUUCAGAUUAUGAAAAGGGAUGCCGUAAUCAUAAUUGAAUUAUAGAACCCAAAUAAUAGACCCAAAUAUAGAAUUUCCUUAUGCUGAUCCAUUCCAACAUGAAAUUCAUAUAUAUAUCCUUGACUAAAUAUGAUUAAAACCUCAAUCGAAGCUUUUAAAAUUGAAGUGAAGUAUAAUUUCGUCUCCCUUAAUUAUAGCAAAACAACAUUUUCCCAAUUGAAACCUUUUGUUUUCUAUAAUUAACAUUGCUAACUUGCAACACUUAUUAUAAUUAUCAUGCUCCCACUUGCAUGAUGCUUAUUGGUAUGAAGCUUAUGCUCCCACUAGCUUUGAUAUUUACUUAGAAAUCUGCUGGACUUCUAAAUAUCAGUACUUUAUUGACCUUCUUAUCGAAGUUCAUAUUUCUGAUACGAGAUGCUUUUGACAAAACUUUAUCAAAAUCAUACACCUUUCCUUAGAUAACACACAUGUGUGUCUAAACAAUUUCAGAACUAUGAAAACGGAUGUCGUAAUCAUAAUCUCAAUUGUUUAGACCAUUGUCAUUUCUCACAAGUCCAUGUUAGUGUGAUGGUUAACCACACAUGCUCCACUAACGACUUUGAGAAUGUAAAUAUCACAACUGCUAUCCGGUUAAAAUCUACUUAGUGAAAGUGUUUCCUCACCAUCAUUUUCAUGAAUAAGAGAGAAACCUUAUGACACAUAGAUUUUAUGGUGUAUUUGUUCCUAUCCAUGUGAAUUUGUCAAAACCAUAAUCACAAGACAAGGUUAUUGACAAAUCCAAACUCUUAUGGAUGGAACUUGUGCAGUCUUAGCUUCUUGCCACUUGGCAGCAUAAGGGUCUGCCAUUGCUUCCAAGCUGUUAUGCAACCAACUGAGAACUCUCAGAACUCAUAUGCAAAGCCAACUUUAAAUGGAAUGGGCACAGAAAUUGGAAUAUGUCAACACGAUAGGUUAUAAACCUUAAGUCGUGUGUUAGUGAUAAACUAUAGGUUUUUCCUUCUUGAUUAGAUCUGGAAGUAUUUCCAAGAUCUUUAAGACUCCCACUUCCUUCUUGAUAUGUAAGACUCACUUGCCAAAUAUUCAAGAGAUAGUGUAGAUUCUUAAUCAAGACAAACACUUCACACAAUUGGCCUUAAGUUGGUCUCUGUUUUAUCCAAAACAUCACAACUUACAAAUUUCAAAUGUACAAGAAUGGGACACACUUCACUCUUACAUUUGACUAGUGUUAUAAACCUUUCUUUAAGAGAUGUCACUCAAGUUACAAUCUUGGUGUAUGACUCUUAGAAUUGUUUUUGGAACGAGUAUGACUCAUCUUCUUGAUUUAACCAUUUCAGCAAUUCUUGAUUCCUCUUCUUAGCCAUAUGAAUGCUCUAAGAUGUCUUUAGAGGACCAAUUGUGACAUGGUUUCUUAAUCAUUAAGAUGAACACAAAACAUGAUCCUAAAGUACUCUCCCAUCUUUUCAGAUUUGAGAAACUAUUAUCCUUCUGCCUAAUUUGAUUCUUCUCAUCCGUCCUGCCAUACACUGAAUUUUCUUUCAAUGUUUCAGAAUUAAACUUAAACUUGUAAGUAUAACCAUAUUUACUAAACCUUAGUAAAUCAUGAAGAAUAGUCUUAUUAACAUUUUGUGGUGAACCUUGAUCAGUGCACAAGAAUGUGUACUUGAUCCCUUAGUCCUUCACUUGACUCAAAUAUACAUGUGAACAAGGAACUAGUCUUAAUUUUCCAAAGCUGAAAUUUCUCAUUCAUCAUACUAUAAAUAUUGUAUGAUUCCAAGUUUCUAUCCAACUGAAAACUUAGGUGAUGAGAAGCUUUCCUUAUUUGGUAAAUUUAGACACUACUACAAACGAAAGAAUCAAAUCCACAUUUCCAUUAUUGCUAUAAAUAUAUAAAGAUCAAUUUUUCAAUAAAAGUCAUUGCAAGGAGAUAUAAACUAAAAUAAAAUCAAGAUUUUAUUUAUUUAUAAAAAAUGCGGAAAAAGUUUUCCUUAAAAUGCAACUUGAAAUGAAAACUAUGCUAUUACAUGUUUUCUAGCAAUCUAUCAUAACCCUAAGUAGUAGCUCAAAAAUCUGAUCUUCAACCUUGCGAUAGAAAUCCAUCUUCGCGAUCAUAUUCAACAUACUCUUUCUUUAAGUUUCUUUUCCUUUGCUUGAUCCUGCCAAACAUCAAAAUGUAACUUAGUCACAUUAUGUAUUGAUAAUCAACAAUUAGGAACUUAACAGAGUUAGAUAGUGGACUUACCUGAAUCAGAGUCAAACUUUUUGAUUCCUUUCAGAUCCUUCAGGUAGCUAGGACAGCUUCACUUCCAAUGCCCUUUUUCUUCACAAUGAAAGCAUAUAGACUCUUCUGGAACGUUUCCGCCAUUCUUGGUUUUGGGGUGUGACAGAUUGGUAUCAGAGCAUUGUUUAUAGUGAAUUGAGUAUAUCAACCCAUAAAAGAUAUACUAAACUAUAAACCCAUUGGGGAUUAAACUCUGACCAAGAGUCUAUACUUAAAAUAAUAAAAUAUUUAACUAAGUAUACUAGUCUGCAUUCAUACUAAAAUAAGUGUCACAAUGACAAGAACAAAAGUAUUACGAUUGUUAAAUAUCACAAGUGAGCUCGGGGAUGUAUGGUCAGUCCUGGGAAUGGCAUAGCCUGAUCAACUAUGCUGAUCCUAGGAGUGAUUAGCACAUGCCUUAGAAUGGUUGUGAUAGGUUAGCAAGUCUAAAAACUUACCAACAAUACCACAAGAAGAUCAAUAGAACUUAAACUUAAAAUACUAUAGGAGUAUUUUGCGCUACUAGUUACACGUAUACUAUAUUCUUAUACCUCUAUUCUCGCGUAGAUCUUGAUGGCUAGAUAUCCAUCAUGGCGACCCGUACUUUCCCAAUGAAGGCAAUGCCGGGUGGAUCGAUGAAGAGCCCGAAGUUGAUCAUCCAAUCCCUUUGGAUGAUCACCUCGCAGAAGGCUUUUCAGAUGGGUCCGACUCCGAGCCUGAAGUCAACAACCUACCGAUUGUAGGUCAAGCCCCGAACAACAACCCUCGACCAGCGUUUCCAGGUCCUACACCCAUGUGGGCAAACAACCGAACCGCUGGAGUGAUGAUCAGGGUCAACCCUUACCAUACUUUGGGGACCGAACCUUUUACAACGUCAGCGAUGGUGGCUCUACUGACCGAGCUCUGCCUGUCAUUAUCCGCAGAAUAGCUCGUAUUGUCGAGCAAGGUGGAGCAGCCGUCGACCGGGUCAUAGAGAUUGAUGCCGACUCAGGUGUCAACACAGUCAGCAUCCGCCGUCUUGAAGAAGACAUGGAACGGACCCGGAGGACAAAUAAAACCCUGCAGUAGCAGUUGGCUGCCUCACGAGCUGAAAUAUUGGAACUUCGAGCUCGUCAGAGGACUCAGGAUCGACCCAUUCAAGAGGUGUUUCGUCAAGUAUCCGACCGCAGUACUCGCCCGGGAUUUUCCCAUCGCCGUUGGUUGAUGUCUAGUACAGCUCCGUCUUUUAAUUAAAGGAUAGCCUUUAACAUCUGUGCUCCAAGUAGCGCUUGUGUGUAAAAUGUUUCUAACUUCCGUACUCAAAUUUGAAAUCUAAGGACUGUCAAACUUUUCUAUAUGGUAUGAUGUAUGACCUACUGUUAGGUCGAUUUUCCCUGAACUUAUUACAUCAGUAAUACCAGUAAAUUUUUGAGAUCUAUCUAUCUGGGGAAAAAUCUAUACACUUGUGCUUUCCUACUAAUAAUGCUUGUUGUGGUUUCAAGCACCCUUUCAACUGUUGGACUAUGUUUAGUUAGUCCAUGUGUCACUCUCGCGUUGCUUACAAAUUGAUUCUUACCAUCUUUCUUAUCUUUUUAAACUUUCAGCUGAAGGAUGCCUCCUCGCAAGUCUCCCAGGAAUAGGAAUAAUCCUGCACCUCCACCACCUCCUCCGCCUCCGGUCAUCGAUACUGUAGCCCUGAAUGCUGUUGUAGCUGCAGCAGUGGCAACUGCCAUGGCUCAGUAUCACUCUUCUGAUGCCAGCAGAGGUGGAACCCCUGUGGAAUCUAUUCCGAUCGAAAUCCCUGUGCGCUCAAGGGAGUGCUCUUACAAGGAUUUUACAAACUGCAAGCCGAAGCCUUUCUAUGGCACCGGCGGAGUCAUUGCUCUCUCGCAGUGGUUCGAGAAGACUGAAUCAGUCUUCGAAAUUUGUUCAUGCCCUGCUGCGUGCAAGGUGAAAUAUGCCGCCUGCACCUUUGAGGGUAAAGCCCUAACGUGGUGGAACGGCCACGUCAAAGCCCUAACUCUCGUCGUAGCCAACGACAUGGGCUGGGAAACAAUGAAAGACCUCAUGACUGAGGAAUACUGCCCGAGGGGCGAGAUCCAGAAACUGGAGCAGGAACUCUGGAACCUGUCGAUGAAGGGCACCAAUGUGGUCGCUUAUACUGCCCGAUUCAGCGAGCUGGUGGCCCUCUGCCCCAAUAUGGUUCCCACCGAGGGGAAGAAGAUCGAGAGGUACAUAUGGGGACUAGUGCCUCCGUAUCAGGGGAAUGUGCUAGCGUCAAACCCCGCUACCUUCGACAGUGCCAAACGAUUGGCACAACGACUCAUUGACCAUGGAGUCAAAACCCCUGCAACCACAACCACCCUAGCCAUCCCGGAACCCUCCAAACCCGCCGAUACUAAGCGGAAAUUCUGGGAUGAAAGGAAGAAGCAUCAGGCUGCCAAAAAGCAGCAAUUGGUGGCAAUUCAUGCCGCAGUAACCCCUACUGCUGCUACUACUGCUCCGGUGAGUCGGUAUGCUGGAAGUUCGCCCAAGUGCAACAAAUGCAGCUACCACCACAACGGCCCCUGCCGUGAAUUGCAGUGCUCUAACUGCAACAGGAAAGGACACACCGUCCGAUUCUGUAAGUUCCCGGCACAACCUAUCAACCAAGUCCCUGGCUCUGGCGCGAGCCCAACCUGCUAUGGAUGUGGCGAAGCAGGCCACUUUAAGAGGGACUGCCCCAAAGCGAGGAAUGCUGGAGGAGCAGGGAGGGUACUGGCUAUAGGCCACGGGGAAGCAGUUGCUGACCCGACAGUAGUAACCGGUACGUUCCUCCUCGAUAACUCCUAUGCAUGCAUUCUAUUCGAUAGUGGAGCGGAGCGAAGCUUCGUAAACCAUAAAUUUGCUCGCAUGCUUAAUCAACCACCGCACGCACUCAAAGAACUAUUUACAGUAGAAAUGGCUAAUGGAAAAACUGAAAAUACGAGUAGCAUAUACUUAGGUUGUACCCUAACCCUAGACAACCAUUCAUUUCCAAUCGACCUCAUGCCAGUCUCAAUAAAAAGUUUCGACGUCAUCAUUGGCAUGGACUGGUUAAGCCUUCAUCGUGCCGACAUCAUGUGCUUCGAGAAAGCAGUCCGUCUAAACCUUCCGUCUAACGAAACUCUUAUAGUCUAUGGCGACAAACCCGGUGCAAGUCUUCGCAUCAUAUCAAGUAUUCAAGCACAGAAAUACCUGCGUAAGGAAUACCACGCAUUCCUUGCUCACGUCGUCGACACGAACCUAGAAACGAAAGAACUAAAGAACCUCCCAGUAGUGAGCGACUUCCCCGACAUUUUCCCAGAAGAACUACCCGGAUUACCUCCGCAACGACAAGUCGAGUUCAGAAUCGACUUAGUCCCAGGAGCUACCCCAGUAGCCAAGUCGCCCUACCGUUUAGCACCAGCCGAGAUGCAAGAACUCUCUGGUCAACUUAACGAACUGCUCAGCAAGGGCUUUAUAAGGCCAAGUUUCUCACCUUGGGGAGCACCGGUCUUGUUUGUUAAGAAGAAGGACGGAUCCUUCCGUAUGUGUAUUGACUACAGAGAACUCAACAAACUGACGGUCAAGAAUCGUUAUCCUCUACCACGCAUAGAUGAUCUAUUCGACCAACUGCAAGGGGCGAACUAUUUUUCUAAGAUUGAUCUGAGAUCCGGAUAUCACCAGUUACGAGUGCUAGAGGAGGAUGUGCCGAAGACCGCCUUCCGAACUCGUUACGGACAUUACGAGUUCGUGGUGAUGCCAUUCGGAUUGACCAAUGCGCCCGCAGUCUUCAUGGAUCUGAUGAAUAGAGUAUGCCGACCCUACUUGGAUCAGUUCGUCAUCGUUUUCAUUGACGACAUCCUAAUCUACUCCCGAAGUAAGAAAGAACAUGGCGAUCAUCUGCGACAAGUUCUAGGGACAUUACGAAAAGAGAAACUUUAUGCGAAGUUCUCGAAAUGUGAAUUUUGGAUCCGAAGAGUCGAAUUCUUAGGACACGUGGUAAGCGAAGAGGGAAUCCACGUGGACCCAUCCAAAAUUAAGGCCAUUGAGAACUGGUCAGCACCGAAGACUCCUACAGAAAUUCGUCAAUUUCUAGGUCUCGCUGGCUACUACCGCAGGUUCAUUCAGAACUUCUCACGAAUAGCGAAGCCUCUUACAACCCUAACCCAGAAAGGUGUGGCCUUUGACUGGGAAGAGAAACAAGAAAGAGCGUUCCAAACGCUCAAACGAGCCUUGUGCACCGCACCAAUACUAUCCCUUCCCGAAGGAAUAGAAGACUUCGUAGUUUAUUGCGAUGCAUCAAACCAAGGACUCGGAUGUGUUCUGAUGCAGCGAGGUAAGGUCAUCGCCUACGCCUCAAGACAAUUGAAGACACACGAGGUUAACUACACGACCCACGAUCUUGAACUAGGAGCAGUAGUGUUUGCUCUGAAGAUCUGGAGACAUUACUUGUAUGGAACGAAGAGCACUAUCUUUACCGACCACAAGAGUUUACAACACAUUUUCGAUCAGAAGGAGCUCAACAUGAGACAACGACGAUGGGUCGAGCUACUCAGUGAUUACGAAUGCGAUAUUCGUUAUCAUCCGGGUAAAGCCAACGUAGUAGCAGACGCCCUAAGUCGGAAGGAAUAUUCUGGUCGCAAAGUCAAGUCAUUAUCGAUAACCAUCCAUUCACACCUGACUAAGCAAAUUCAGGCGGCUCAACUUGAGGCCAUGAAAUCUGAAAAUGUGUCAAGUGAAUCCCUUAGAGGAAUGGACAAGAAUUUAGAAGCCAAGGGUGACGGAGCUUUAUAUUUCAUGAACCGGAUCUGGACACCGAAACAUGGUGGCUUCCGAGACUUGGUCAUGACCGAGGCGCACAACACUCGGUAUUCCGUCCACCCAGGUUCAGAUAAGAUGUAUCUGGAUCUUAAGAAGCUAUACUGGUGGCCUAAUAUGAAAGCAGAGAUUGCUACCUUCGUAAGUAAAUGCCUUACUUGCGCAAAGGUUAAGGUCGAGUACCAGAAGCCCUCUGGUUUAUUGCAGCAACCAGAGAUCCCGGAAUGGAAGUGGGAGCGGAUCACUAUGGAUUUCAUAACCAAGUUGCCCAAGACAACGGGUGGACUUGACACCAUAUGGGUCAUCGUUGAUAGAUUGACCAAGUCUGCACACUUCCUGCCUAUCAAAGAAACCGACAAGAUGGAGAAGCUUACGAGAACAUACAUUAGGGAAAUCGUACGGCUACAUGGUGUACCUAUGUCCAUUAUCUCCGAUAGAGAUAGUAGGUUCACCUCAAGAUUUUGGCAAUCACUACAACAUUCCCUAGGAACGAGGCUGGACAUGAGCACAGCCUACCAUCCUCAGACCGACGGACAGAGUGAGAGGACCAUCCAAACUCUAGAAGAUAUGUUGCGAGCCUGCGUGAUUGACUUUGGGAAGGCAUGGGAUACUCAUUUACCCCUUGUCGAGUUUUCCUAUAAUAACAGUUAUCACACGAGCAUCAAGGCUGCUCCAUUUGAAGCUCUCUACGGCCGUAAGUGCAGAUCCCCUCUGUGCUGGGCUGAGGUGGGUGAUACCCAAUUAGCCAGGGGGCAAACUUCCGACAGUACUCUCACCGGUCCGGAGAUCAUUCGGGAAACAACAGAGAAAAUCGUUCAGAUCCGUGAACGAUUGAAAGCCUCUAGAGACCGACAGAAGAGCUACGCUGAUAAACGAAGGAAACCUUUGGAAUUUCAGGUGGGAGACCGAGUCCUCCUCAAAGUCUCACCCUGGAAGGGCUUGAUACGCUUCGUCAAGCGAGGAAAGCUUAAUCCGAGAUACAUUGGGCCUUUCGAGAUUCUUGCAAGAGUCGGCCCCGUAGCUUACAAACUCGAACUACCAGACGCACUUCGUAACGUACAUUCUACAUUCCACGUAUCUAACUUGAAAAAGUGUCUAUCCGACGAGACUCUUGUAAUCCCACUCGACGAGAUCGAAAUCAACGAGAGCCUCAACUUCGUGGAAGAACCUAUAGAGAUCAUGGACCGUGAGGUCAAGCAGACAAAGCAAAGCCGUAUCCCUAUCGUGAAGGUUCGCUGGAAUGCCAAGCGAGGACCGGAAUUCACUUGGGAACGUGAGGAUCAGAUGAAACUGAAAUACCCUCACCUUUUUGCUUAGUUAUUUGUAAAUUCUAGCUUGCUUAAAAUUCUAAUUUCGGGACGAAAUUCCUUCUAACGGGGGGAUGAUGUGACAACCCGAUAUUUCGAGUCAAUGUAAUGUAAAACCGAUCAAAUUUAGGUCAAAAUGUAACCUUCCUAAAAUCUUAUUCGGAUUAAAUAAAGUAAUAGGAAUCAUAUCAAGGUUUGCGUACAUAAAAAGAACGUCCAAAUCUGACUUCGGAUGAGGAAGUUAUGAAUUUUUGAAGAAAUUCCUUAAUCACGUCAUUUUAAUAAAUAAAUAAUAAAAAUAAUUUCGGAAUUAGCCAACGGAAUCUAAACGAAAGUCGUAGAUCAUGGUCUCACCUUCGCGAGGAUAUAAAGAACGUCAAAAACGGAGUUCGUAUGAGAGAGAUAUGAAUUUUUGAAGUUUAUUUAAAAUAAAUAAAAAUUUAAUUAUAAAUUCCCGGUAAUAUCCGAAGGGGAGUCAUCGGAUUGGACCGAAGUACGCCCUGCGUACCUUCGUACGCCCCGCGUACUGAGAUCGAGGGUCUCGGAUCGUCCACGUCGCACUAUCCGAAGAGUUCUAACCCGUCCGACCCGUCCGAAGCUCCGACCCGUCCGACCCGCUGUCCCGUCCGACCCGCCGUCCCAUCCGACCCGCGUACCCAGCAACCCGUCCCAUCCGAACCGAGGCAGUCGAGGCUUCGGUCAUGCAUGACGUACGCGUACGCGCUGCGUACGAGCGUACGCCCCGCGUUCGGAGGCGGUUCAGCCUUCCUAUAAAUAGGAUGCGAGGCUUUCCGAAAAUGUUGCUCAUUUCUCUCCUCUCUCUCACAACUUUGUCUCGUUUUCCGUGCCCGUUAUAACCCGAAGCUCUGGUCUUUUUGCUCAAGUCCCGAGGGUCGAUUUUACUCCCGAGAUUCCCGAGAAUCCCGAGAAAAAUCCGUUUUCCGAGACGAAACUCUGCCCGGUUUUCCAUCUCGCUUUCUUCAAUCAAUCAAGUGAGUUUCAUACCCCUUAAUCAACCUGUUAAAUAUUCUAAAUGCUUUUAUAUGCUUUCAAAAGGGGGGGAAUACAAGUUAAAUACUUAUAGUUAUUGUUUCAAUCACAUGUGAUUGUACUAAUCACAUGUGAUUAAUAACUAGGGAAAUCAGUGGUUUUAUCACUAUUCAAACUAUCUAUCAAACUGUUUUACUUCUAAAUGUUUUCCAAACCCAUUUACUUUUCGAAUUUACACUGCAACUGUGAUUUAAGCAAAUGUUCCUUAUACUUAAACUGUUUUAAUCAAAUCUACACCUUCAAAUGGUUUUAUAGAUUGACAUCAAGUCAAUCUUUCUUUAAAAAUAAUACUUAUGUUUCAAAUGCCUUAUAAAUACUUAUUUAUGCUUUUAUAUUACAAAUUGCAUGCCCAUAUAUGUAUAGACGUAUAAAUAAUGUUUAAAGGACUUAGGAAGGCUAUCCACCUUGUUUCCUUUUCCUCGAUUUGGAUGUGGUCUGAUAGGAUUUUGGGUGACCAUCCGAAGGUCGUUUCCAUAUUAAUUAUAUAUCAAAUAUACAUAUAUAGACAUAAAAGUACUUCCAUAAUCAUAUGUACUAAACGCACUGUUAACAAGUUACCAUCGGGGUAACACAGAAUCAUACUAUUACAACUGCUAGAUCAAUGAGUCAGUUCAUUCAUGAGUCUAUACUAGGAAGAGAAUAUAUACAACUAUACUACGAGAACAUAUACAACUAUACUAGAACAAGAAACAUUUCAUCACAUAUGCAAGAAUACGAUAACAAAUGUGAUCCACUGUAUCGGAGCAUGCCUUAAAUGUCAUGGCCCGAGUUGUAGCCAGAAUUCUCUUGGAGGGAGAGCGUUGAGUUUGCGUAUAGAUCUAUACUGGAUUGACUAUCCUACACCUUGCUGCUAGCUACAGCCGGACCUGCAGGUCUGCGGGUGCCAAACGUCAUUCCGUUAUUACGACCGUUCUUUAUGUCGUUGUUAUCAGUCGAUAGUAUGGUGCAAUUAUCACAUUAUACCUUAAUAUAAAUCCGGUUUAAGGUAGUAGUAAUUAGUACAACAGUAGUUCUUAUUAUACAAAGCUACAGUACUACAAUGAUUUACCCAUUACAUAUUUUGGUGAUAAUCUCACUUAAGCAUUAAUGUACAAACUAUAUUUUAUCAAAUGAUAGUUAUACUUGGGUAAUUACACACUUUUACAACAGACGAGUUUACAAAACAGUUAAGCCUUGGUAGAAGGCUACUUUUAUAGAAAAUAUAGGAUUUUCUGAGAGAUUCAAACUUUUACAAACUUAUACAUUGAGACAGGUUCAAACGUUUUUGACAACGAACAUUGACACUAAAAUACUUAUGAACUCACCAGCUUAAUGCUGAUAAACUCUUUCAAAAUAACUUGUAUUCUCAGGUCAUCAGUAGACAGGUACCGAUGCCAGCUUUUGAGAUGAUGGAGCGUACUCAAGACUCAUCAUUUUAUUAUUUUGAUUUACGUUAUAUUUUUGGUGUCUAAAACUGUACAGAACACGCAUGUAUUAAAAUUAUAUAUUUAAUGCAAUGGAUGAUGUUGUUUGCCUAUUUACAUUUACUUUGUUAUGAUUACCUUACAUGACGUCCUCCGCCCCAGAACGUUUCCGCCGUUCUUGGUUUUAGGGUGUGACACCUAAUCAUUAAACUAAUACAAAACAUGAAUCUAUUGAUAAUUAUCUUAGAAAUUGGAUUAGCAUGAACAUUACCACACGAAAAACAGGUUUAUAAGUUGAAAAAAAGCUUAGGGUAAUGUUCCUAGUCCAAUUCCAGCCAAAACAGUCGAAGAUAUGCUGUUUGGGGGUCCAACUCGGCGAGUUGGAUGAUUUUUGCCUUGGACUCGGCGAGUCUGCUGUCCAGACAACAUACAAACUUCGAUUUUUAGCCAAUUUUGCAAGUAUAAGAAGAAAACAAGCCUAGGCUCUGAUACCACUAUUGGGUUUUGAGCUUUCUAACACUCCUAUGGUGUAUAUGUAACCCUAGAAACAUUGGAUCUAUGUUUUAUCUAUGAUACAUGAAAAAUUGAUUUUCCAAGGUUCUUAACCUAUCUAGAAUACAAGGGAACUUUUAAUCAUAAAAGAUAGUAAGAAAAACAUACCUUGUAGUGAUUUGGAUUCCUUGAAAACCUUGUGAGCCUAGCACCCCAAGUGUGAUGCCUCAAAUGUCUCACACAACACCAAAUGCACUUGGAAUAAACCUUGAGAGAAAUGUCACACUCUUGAAAUCGUUUAGCCCUCUUCUUACUUGCUUAAGUCUCCGAUUUUGGUGAACAUAUGGAUCCUUAUAUAGUGUGCUACAAUUAGGGUUACACCAUGUAAACUCUAAUUGUCAUGAUCUUUCAUUAACCCAUAGGUUCUAUAAACACCAUGGAGCAUCCUAUGGGUUUUAGUCUAACUUGAUAAUCCAUGGAGCAUUAGCCCACUAUACAAAUAUGGAUGAUUUACACAAUCAACCCAUAUAUUUAAUUAGUCUUCUUUUGAUCACUUAAUUAUUUCCAAAUUAAUUGUUGAUCAAUACUAAUUAAAUAAUCCUAUUAAUAUAUUAGAACUUAUAAUAUAUUAAUAAACCAUAAGUGUUAUUUCUCUUAUUUUAGUCUAUCCAAAUGCAUGAUGCCAUGCAACCCAAAUGAACCAUGUUGAUCGGGUCAAGUACCUCCCAGAAUAGUUAUGAACUUAGACACCUAAUCCAAUAGAUGGGUCCCAAUCAGUAGUGAUGAAGAAAGUGAACGGAAAGGUGGUAGUGGGAUAGUAUUCGGAGCCACGGCAGCGGCGCAACGACGGAACAGGAACGGAGAAGGAGAAGAAGAGCACGACAGAGAGGUGGCGGCAGUAAUCCGAGAAAUGUGACGGCGGUGCUCUUCAACGAGGUGGUGUGCGAUGGAGUGCUCGAACUCGACCGACAGUGAUGUCGCCCAUUCAAACCAUCACAACCCCGUUGUCCCAACAUCUUCGACUCAUUGAACUCCCUCUCGCCGGCAACAAACAUGGCGGGAGUCUGGUGGUCCUUAUG
This 14237-nucleotide long non-coding RNA is filed under the name Lactuca sativa (garden lettuce). Its description in RNAcentral is "long non-coding RNA (LSAT_LNC007962)". The record is from RNAcentral. Lineage: Eukaryota; Viridiplantae; Streptophyta; Magnoliopsida; Asterales; Asteraceae.